Molecule: ribosomal RNA, 245 nt
Filed under: uncultured bacterium
Lineage: Bacteria
Description: partial 16S ribosomal RNA
Rfam family: Bacterial small subunit ribosomal RNA
Source: RNAcentral
UACGGAGGGUGCAAGCGUUAUCCGGAUUCACUGGGUUUAAAGGGUGCGUAGGUGGGCAGGUAAGUCAGUGGUGAAAUCUCUGGGCUUAACCCGGAACUGCCGUUGAUACUAUCUGUCUUGAAUGUAGUGGAGGUGAGCGGAAUAAUGUCAUGUAGCGGUGAAAUGCUUAGAUAUGACAUAGAACAUCGAUUGCGAAGGCAGCUCGCUACACUAUGAUUGACACUGAGGCACGAAAGCGUGGGGAU